Molecule: long non-coding RNA, 281 nt
Filed under: Mytilus galloprovincialis (Mediterranean mussel)
Lineage: Eukaryota; Metazoa; Mollusca; Bivalvia; Mytilida; Mytilidae
Source: RNAcentral
AUCAAAUGGCAAAAUCAAAUGAUAAAACACAUCAAACGAAUGGACAACAACUGUCCUAUUCCUGACUUGGUACAGGCAUUUUCAAAUUUAGAAAAUGGUGAAUUGAACCUGGUUUUAUAGCGCUAAAACUCUCACUUGAACGACAGCCGCAUCAAUCUCCAUUUUAUUGACCAUGAUGCGCGAACAACACGGACCCCACUAAAAAGUAAGGGUGAUUUCAGAAGAUUUUCGCGGCAGGGGACGCAGAUCCGUCUACACAUGUGGCAUUCGUUCUGUAGCCC